GAUGAACGCUGGCGGCGUGCCUAACACAUGCAAGUCGAGCGAAGCACUUACUUUAGAUUUCUUCGGAAUGACGAAGUUUGUGACUGAGCGGCGGACGGGUGGGUAACGCGUGGGCAACCUGCCCUGUACAGGGGGAUAACAGUUAGAAAUGACUGCUAAUACCGCAUAAGCCCACAGCUUCGCAUGAAGCAGUGGGAAAAACUCCGGUGGUACAGGAUGGGCCCGCGUCUGAUUAGCUAGUUGGUAAGGUAACGGCUUACCAAGGCGACGAUCAGUAGCCGACCUGAGAGGGUGACCGGCCACAUUGGGACUGAGACACGGCCCAAACUCCUACGGGAGGCAGCAGUGGGGAAUAUUGCACAAUGGGGGAAACCCUGAUGCAGCGACGCCGCGUGAGCGAUGAAGUAUUUCGGUAUGUAAAGCUCUAUCAGCAGGGAAGAAAGUGACGGUACCUGACUAAGAAGCCCCGGCUAACUACGUG
This 481-nucleotide ribosomal RNA is filed under the name uncultured bacterium. Its description in RNAcentral is "partial 16S ribosomal RNA". It matches the Rfam family "Bacterial small subunit ribosomal RNA", at positions 28 to 507 of the family's 1533-position model. The record is from RNAcentral.